Molecule: long non-coding RNA, 1317 nt
Filed under: Elaeis guineensis (African oil palm)
Lineage: Eukaryota; Viridiplantae; Streptophyta; Magnoliopsida; Arecales; Arecaceae
Description: long non-coding RNA (EGUI_LNC075676)
Source: RNAcentral
UAUUUUUCAUUCGUCGUAGAGGCAUAUUGACUUAUGUCAAAUUGGGAUGAUAACUUAUCCUUAAUAAAGUUAUAAACUUAUUUAAGGUAGAUCAGGUCAUAAUCAUCAUAAACUAACAUCCCAAUAUCUCUAAUAUCUAUCCAUCACUCAUUCAUUCGAUUCUACAUAUCUUUAUCUAUCUACUUAUGCUCUGAUACCAUAUAAAUUAUCACGCCUCCGACCCAAGAUUGUAAGUCGAAGAUCAUGGCAACCGCCGCAUACUUAUAAGAAACACUUUCCAUAAGUAUGCAAGGCAUCUCAUGAUAUUAACAAAAAGCUAAAUAAAUUUUAAUUUUUAAUGAUCAAAUCUUAGUUCAAAUAACAAAUCAAAAUUCAAUGUCAAAAGAAAAGUAAAAGUCUGACAAAGUCAACAUUAAAAUAAAAUCUUGCAUCAAUUCUGAAGAAAUCCUAAAUCAAUUAAGGUAAGCUAACUUCGUCUCUAAUCACACUCCCGAUAGAAAUCCCGCAUCAUGCUAAUUUUUUGAAUCUGUAAAAGAAAAUAAAAAACUCAUCAUGAGCUAAAUAGCCCAGUAAGCAAUAUAUACCUUUAAGUGAAUAAAUCAGACAAUAAUAUUACACAUAUCAGUUUACUGAUAAUAACAUAAUAAAUAUAUGAGUUCAAGAAUUCAUAUCUUAAUUCAUUGCACUAUCAAAUAUCAUAUAUGAAUUUUUAUUUCAUCAUAAUUUUAAAUUAUGUUUGUCAUCUCAAAUUCAUCAAAUUUCUUAUAUUCUUCUUAUCAACCAUGAACUAUGACCAUAUUUUCUCUGUGACAGGAUCAUAAUACCGCGUAUCUUCUUGCGAUAAACUGCAAAUCAUUUGGCAGCAAAAUCCUUCGGAACUGCUGGUCUCGCUGACGACAUGUCGCUGGUCUCGCUGGUGAUAUAAAUCCUCAGGACAAAUCAAUUGCCAACAUAUUAACCUCCAUUAGCGGGAUCCUUUACAUAGUCAGGUUGUCAAAUCAUAUUAUCUUUCAAUUUCAUAUAUUAGUUAAAUAAUAAUAUAAAUAAAUGAUAUUCGAAUCAAUCAAUCGUAUCAUCCUUUAUGAUCAUACAUCAUCAUAAUUAAUUUCAACAAAUAUCUUCAAUCAUAAUUAAUUUCAACAAAUAUCUUCAAUCAUAAUUAAUUUCAACAAAUAUCUUCAAUUAUAAGCAUACCAUGAAUUAAUAUGAUUCAAAUUUAUAAUUUACCAGCUAAAUUCAGUAAAGGUAAAACACUACUUACCUCAAAAGCAAAUCCAAACUAUGGAUCCUAUAAAUCCUUCUCGAAACCUGGUAUGU